Molecule: ribosomal RNA, 538 nt
Filed under: Saccharomyces cerevisiae (brewer's yeast)
Lineage: Eukaryota; Fungi; Ascomycota; Saccharomycetes; Saccharomycetales; Saccharomycetaceae
Description: partial large subunit ribosomal RNA
Rfam family: Eukaryotic large subunit ribosomal RNA
Source: RNAcentral
GGCGAGUGAGCGGCAAAAGCUCAAAUUUGAAAUCUGGUACCUUCGGUGCCCGAGUUGUAAUUUGGAGAGGGCAACUUUGGGGCCGUUCCUUGUCUAUGUUCCUUGGAACAGGACGUCAUAGAGGGUGAGAAUCCCGUGUGGCGAGGAGUGCGGUUCUUUGUAAAGUGCCUUCGAAGAGUCGAGUUGUUUGGGAAUGCAGCUCUAAGUGGGUGGUAAAUUCCAUCUAAAGCUAAAUAUUGGCGAGAGACCGAUAGCGAACAAGUACAGUGAUGGAAAGAUGAAAAGAACUUUGAAAAGAGAGUGAAAAAGUACGUGAAAUUGUUGAAAGGGAAGGGCAUUUGAUCAGACAUGGUGUUUUGUGCCCUCUGCUCCUUGUGGGUAGGGGAAUCUCGCAUUUCACUGGGCCAGCAUCAGUUUUGGUGGCAGGAUAAAUCCAUAGGAAUGUAGCUUGCCUCGGUAAGUAUUAUAGCCUGUGGGAAUACUGCCAGCUGGGACUGAGGACUGCGACGUAAGUCAAGGAUGCUGGCAUAAUGGUUAU